AUGUUUUUUUUAGCAAAGAUAUUAACGGUAGCUAGCAAGCAGGCUAUCAAAGGAAUAUUAGCUAGCUGAUGAGAUCAAAUGGCUGAUAAACGUGCUUUGGAGAAACUGGACUUUUGUGCAUUAAGCAUCGAGCAACAGCAGCAACUCUGACAAUUUAAGAGAUGUAUUUCUCAAAAGACCCACAGGCAUUCGAGAGUAUGCAGCAGAUUACUUCACCGCUCCAAACUGCAGGGCGAUCCUGCCGACAGAGGCACAGACUGAAUCUUUACCGGAUUGUUUGGCAGUUCAACUGUUAUUGAAGUGUAAAGCUGUAACAGGCCUCUUAUCUGUGUUCUGUACAUCCUCUGUAUUGACUAGUUAUGUCAAAGUAACAUGAUGGGAAUGUACUGGCACCCAGGCAGAUGUUCUUACUGAGCAUCAUUACAACAGGUUAGUUACAGGGCUACAGAAGGAUGUUUUAUACCGCUGGUUGAGAGGAAAAUAUAGAUUUCUAGGCCUAUAGGGUGGAGUGGACAGCCUCUUUACAAGAGUUCUCAGGGAAAAGUCUAAAUGGGAUCAUUGGGACGUCCCAACUCUGACGUUAAGCCAUCGAAGUUGAAAUAUAAAAUGGUUAAGGUUACCGAUGUCCCAAGGAUUCCGGAUAGCACUAACUUUUUUCUCAAGCCUCAAGAGUUCCCCCUUCUGGACUCUUAUGUACUUCCACUAACUCGCCAGACAUUAAGCAAGAUGAGACAAUGUGACCGCAGCAAUACUGACCAUAACUUUAGAAUGAUCUGACCACACUGGAUACACAGUUUAAAUGUUUAAUGAAUUAAAAAUCAUCAAGUAACCA
This is a long non-coding RNA of Oncorhynchus tshawytscha (Chinook salmon), 832 nucleotides long. RefSeq lists it as uncharacterized. NCBI's taxonomy places the organism in Eukaryota, Metazoa, Chordata, Actinopteri, Salmoniformes, Salmonidae. The transcript has 3 exons. The record is from RefSeq and is a predicted model, not a curated record.